AUUGAACGCUGGCGGCAUGCUUUACACAUGCAAGUCGAACGGCAGCGCGGGCUUCGGCCUGGCGGCGAGUGGCGAACGGGUGAGUAAUGCAUCGGAACGUGCCCAGUAGUGGGGGAUAGCCCGGCGAAAGCCGGAUUAAUACCGCAUACGACCUGAGGGUGAAAGCGGGGGACCGAAAGGCCCCGCGCUAUUGGAGCGGCCGAUGUCGGAUUAGCUAGUUGGUGGGGUAAAGGCUUACCAAGGCGACGAUCCGUAGCUGGUCUGAGAGGACGACCAGCCACACUGGGACUGAGACACGGCCCAGACUCCUAAGGGAGGCAGCAGUGGGGAAUUUUGGACAAUGGGGGCAACCCUGAUCCAGCCAUGCCGCGUGCGGGAAGAAGGCCUUCGGGUUGUAAACCGCUUUUGUUCGGGAAGAAAUCCUCUGGGCUAAUACCCCGGGGGGAUGACGGUACCGGAAGAAUAAGCACCGGCUAACUACGUG
Molecule: ribosomal RNA, 484 nt
Filed under: uncultured bacterium
Lineage: Bacteria
Description: partial 16S ribosomal RNA
Rfam family: Bacterial small subunit ribosomal RNA
Source: RNAcentral